Caenorhabditis elegans is the source of this 144-nucleotide non-coding RNA. Lineage: Eukaryota; Metazoa; Nematoda; Chromadorea; Rhabditida; Rhabditidae. The record is from Ensembl.
CUCACAUGCAACAUUUGGGCAGUUGUAACCAGAAGUCUGACAACAUAAUCCGCAAGUUCUUGGGCAUGUGCUCUGAGCUGCAUUCUUCAUGUCUUGAACUACAGCAGCUGGAGUCGCGGUAGCAGUCGUAUAACAAGCCAAUGG